RNAcentral lists this ribosomal RNA (262 nucleotides) under uncultured bacterium. Its description in RNAcentral is "partial 16S ribosomal RNA". It matches the Rfam family "Bacterial small subunit ribosomal RNA", at positions 793 to 1055 of the family's 1533-position model. The record is from RNAcentral.
GUCCAUGCUGUAAACGAUGAGGACUGACUGUUGGGUGCCUACGGGCAUUUAGUAGUGAAGCUAACGCGUUAAGUUCUCCGCCUGGGGAGUACGGCCGCAAGGUUAAAACUCAAAGGAAUUGACGGGGCCGCACAAGCGGUGGAGCAUGUGGUUUAAUUCGACGCAACGCGAAGAACCUUACCUACUCUUGACAUCCAUGGGACCUGGUAGAGAUACUGGGGUGCCUUCGGGAACCAUGAGACAGGUGCUGCAUGGCUGUCGU